This 634-nucleotide ribosomal RNA is filed under the name uncultured bacterium. RNAcentral's name for it is "bacterial SSU rRNA". It matches the Rfam family "Bacterial small subunit ribosomal RNA", at positions 214 to 863 of the family's 1533-position model. The record is from RNAcentral.
GGUGCCUUGGGAGGGGCCCGCGGCCUAUCAGGUAGUUGGUGAGGUAACGGCUCACCAAGCCGACGACGGGUAGGGGGCGUGAGAGCGUGGCCCCCCACACGGGAACUGAGACACGGUCCCGACGCCUACGGGCGGCAGCAGUGAGGAAUCUUGCCCAAUGGGGGAAACCCUGAGGCAGCGACACCGCGUGCGGGAUGAAGGCCUUCGGGUCGUAAACCGCUUUUCUGGGGGACGAGUAAGGACGGUACUCCAGGAAUAAGUCCCGGCUAACUACGUGCCAGCAGCCGCGGUAAAACGUAGGGGGCGAGCGUUAUCCGGAAUCACUGGGCGUAAAGGGCGUCUAGGCGGCAGCCUAAGUCCCGUGUGAAAGCUCCCGGCUCAACUGGGAGAGGGCAUGGGAGACUGGGCAGCUAGAGACUCGGAGGGGGGUGUGGAAUUCCCGGUGGAGUGGUGGAAUGCGUUGAGAUCGGGAGGAACACCAGUAGCGAAGGCGGCACCCUGGCCGAGAUCUGACGCUGAAGCGCGAGAGCGUGGGGAGCGAACGGGAUUAGAUACCCCGGUAGUCCACGCCGUAAACGAUGACAACUAGGUGUUGGGUGUCCAAGGAUGCUCAGUACCGCAGCAAACGCGAUAA